ACGUAGUAGGCCAGCGGGGGCAGGACCAGC
Molecule: non-coding RNA, 30 nt
Filed under: Actinoplanes sp. SE50/110
Lineage: Bacteria; Bacillati; Actinomycetota; Actinomycetes; Micromonosporales; Micromonosporaceae
Source: RNAcentral